Molecule: ribosomal RNA, 574 nt
Filed under: Boophis williamsi
Lineage: Eukaryota; Metazoa; Chordata; Amphibia; Anura; Mantellidae
Description: partial 16S ribosomal RNA
Rfam family: Bacterial large subunit ribosomal RNA (bases 1-387)
Source: RNAcentral
CAUGGUCUAGCUAGUCUAAUCAAGCAAAUGACUUUUAGUUUGCCCCCCCGAAACUAAGUGAGCUACUUUAAAAUAGCCCAGAGCUAACCCGUCUCUGUCGCAGAAGAGUGGGAAGAUUUUUAAGUAGAGGUGACAGACCUAUCGAACUUAGAGAUAGCUGGUUUUUUAAGAAAAGAAUUUUAGUUCUACUUUAAAUUUCAAAAUUUAAAAGUUAUUCAAAUAAGGCACAGCUUAUUUGAAAUAGGAUACAACCUAAAGCUUAGGGUAAGAUCAAGUGGGCCUAAAAGCAGCCAUCUUUAAAAAGCGUCAAAGCUUAAUACCUGCCUACACUUCUAACCCUUAUAUGUUAUUAAAAAACUCCAUAAAAUAUGGAAGCUAUUAUGCUAGAACAAGUAACAAGAACUUUCUCCAAAAUGCAAGCUUAAGCCACAAUAGACACCCUAAUGGCAAUUAACGUUUGUAAGCCCCUUGUAAUAACCAGAAAACUUUACACCUCUUACGUCAAUCUUACACCAGCACAUUAAUGGAAAGAUUAAAAGAACGGGAAGGAACUCGGCAAAUAUUGAUCCCGCCG